AUGAUCAACCAUUUAGUGCAUAUCACUUCAGUAAUUUUUAAUUGACUUAUACUAGCAACUCCUCAUUUUUUGCUAUGAACGCUUGGUUCCGCAUAUACCAUAGCUAACCAUUUAGUCUAAUUCUUUAAAAUAUGAUCCAUCUUACGAAGCUAUUUUGACUCUUCUUUCUGACAAGCACCUGCACUAUCACUUCAGUGUCUCUACACUGUGGACUCGAGUCUCGUCUAUCCAUAAGAAAAGCGAUCUGUGCACUGAUCUCAUCGGAUCGAUCACCGUCCUCGUGAUGAUCCAUUGAUCAGGAGCAUUUAGAAAUUAAUCACCAAUGAUACAUGGCUCAAAUUCUCAACUCUUGAAAAUAUGUAUCAUCAUCUUAUUAAUUUCUUGGAUGAUUCAUAGACACAUAAAAAAUAUGAAUAAAAAAGAUGCCUGUGGAGUGAUUGAUUAUAACCCUAUUUGAUUUUGAUGAGCUCAAAGCAUUUGAGUAUAUCUUAUGUUUACUAAUGAAUUCAAUCUAGUGUUUCAGUGAUAUUCUUGUAAAUUUAAGGUUAAGUGUCUCUAGAUUUGGUUCAAGACAAUUUGGAUAAGUUAAGAAGUCAAGAUGAACCAAAGUCUGAGACUCGAGUCGACUCCGGGAUAUU
This 638-nucleotide long non-coding RNA is filed under the name Phoenix dactylifera (date palm). RNAcentral describes it as "long non-coding RNA (PDAC_LNC004401)". The record is from RNAcentral. Lineage: Eukaryota; Viridiplantae; Streptophyta; Magnoliopsida; Arecales; Arecaceae.